RNAcentral lists this ribosomal RNA (497 nucleotides) under uncultured bacterium. Its description in RNAcentral is "partial 16S ribosomal RNA". It matches the Rfam family "Bacterial small subunit ribosomal RNA", at positions 28 to 507 of the family's 1533-position model. The record is from RNAcentral.
GAUGAACGCUGGCGGCGUGCCUAAUACAUGCAAGUCGAGCGAACAGACGAGGAGCUUGCUCCUCUGACGUUAGCGGCGGACGGGUGAGUAACACGUGGAUAACCUACCUAUAAGACUGGGAUAACUUCGGGAAACCGGAGCUAAUACCGGAUAACAUGUUGAACCGCAGGGUUCAACAGUGAAAGACGGUCUUGCUGUCACUUAUAGAUGGAUCCGCGCCGCAUUAGCUAGUUGGUAAGGUAACGGCUUACCAAGGCAACGAUGCGUAGCCGACCUGAGAGGGUGAUCGGCCACACUGGAACUGAGACACGGUCCAGACUCCUACGGGAGGCAGCAGUAGGGAAUCUUCCGCAAUGGGCGAAAGCCUGACGGAGCAACGCCGCGUGAGUGAAGAAGGUCUUCGGAUCGUAAAACUCUGUUAUUAGGGAAGAACAAAUGUGUAAGUAACUAUGCACGUCUUGACGGUACCUAAUCAGAAAGCCACGGCUAACUACGUG